This 224-nucleotide long non-coding RNA is filed under the name Elaeis guineensis (African oil palm). RNAcentral describes it as "long non-coding RNA (EGUI_LNC041899)". The record is from RNAcentral. Lineage: Eukaryota; Viridiplantae; Streptophyta; Magnoliopsida; Arecales; Arecaceae.
UAGAUUGGAUCAAAAUCAAAUUUUUAUUAUGUGUGACCCAUUGGGUUCCAAAUCUAGCCAGCAAUGGAUCCAGACUCUCGACGUAAUCCUAAUCGAUUGGAUUAGGUCAGGUCAAUAGUCCCAAUCAACUAGGACUCUUCCUAAUUGAUUCUUGAAUUAAACUCUUUUAAUUCUGAUAAGUUCAUAAGUCAAGAUUGAUAUCUAGUAAUGUCUCAUGACUAUCC